This 507-nucleotide ribosomal RNA is filed under the name uncultured bacterium. RNAcentral's name for it is "partial 16S ribosomal RNA". It matches the Rfam family "Bacterial small subunit ribosomal RNA", at positions 28 to 507 of the family's 1533-position model. The record is from RNAcentral.
GACGAACGCUGGCGGCGUGCUUAACACAUGCAAGUCGAACGGGCCUUGUCCCCUUUUUUUUGGGGGUGGGGUUAGUGGGGAACGGGUGAGGAACACGUGAGUAACCUUCCCCUCACCUCUGGAUAAACGCUUGAAAGGGUGGGUAAUACGGGGUGUUCUGGCCUGCUCGGCUUGGGGGGUUUUGGAAGGUUCGACCGGGUUUGGGUGUUUUGGGGGGGGGUGGGCUCGCGGCCUAUCAGCUUGUUGGUGGGGUGAUGGCCUGGCAAGGCUUUGACGGGUAGCCGGCCUGAGAGGGUGGGCGGUCACACUGGGACUGAGACACGGCCCAGACUCCUACGGGAGGCAGCAGUGGGGAAUAUUGCACAAUGGGCGCAAGCCUGAUGCAGCGACGCCGCGUGAGGGAUGGAGGCCUUCGGGUUGUGAACCUCUUUCGCCAGUGAAGAAGGUCCUGCUCUUUGUGGUGGGGUUGACGGUAGCUGGGUUAAUGAAGCGCCGGCUAACUACGUG